GACGAACGCUGGCGGCGUGCUUAACACAUGCAAGUCGAACGGAAAGGCCCUGCUUUUGUGGGGUGCUCGAGUGGCGAACGGGUGAGUAACACGUGAGUAACCUGCCCUUGUCUUUGGUAUAACUUCAGGAAACUGGGGCUACUACCGUAUAGGAUCUCCUGCUGCAUUGUGGGGGUUGGAAAGUUUCGGCGGUUGGGGAUGGACUCGCGGCUUAUCAGCUUGUUGGUGGGGUAGUGGCUUACCCAGGCUUUGACGGGUAGCCGGCCUGGGAGGGUGACCGGCCACAUUGGGACUGAGAUACGGCCCAGACUCCUACGGGAGGCAGCAGUGGGGAAUAUGGCACAAUGGGCGGAAGCCUGAUGCAGCAACGCCGCGUGCGGGAUGACGGCCUUCGGGUUGUAAACCGCUUUCGCCUGUGACGAAGCGUGAGUGACGGUAAUGGGUAAAGAAGCACCGGCUAACUACGUG
RNAcentral lists this ribosomal RNA (468 nucleotides) under uncultured bacterium. RNAcentral describes it as "partial 16S ribosomal RNA". It matches the Rfam family "Bacterial small subunit ribosomal RNA", at positions 28 to 507 of the family's 1533-position model. The record is from RNAcentral.